GGCUGAGAGAGGAGGCUGAGGGUCAUAUUAUGUUUGUUGUUUCUGAGAGUGAUACAGGCAGUUGACUGCCAAGCUGUCCUCAAUUGGGGGAACCUUUGUCUGGGAGAAUGCCCUCACGAUUAUGGAGCAGUGUGUUUAGAAAAGAUUGAUAAGCAAAGAAUUUAUGUUCCACUUCAAUGUGAAGGAACAGAGGAGCAAACAUGCUUUCGCUACCACUCGUGUGUGUGCUCCAUUGUAGUUGUGUCAUGAAAAGCCAGACAACUCAGGAUGUUGAUGUCAUGUGGGCCCUCUGGAAAGUCCUAAAAUAUGCCCCUGACCGCCGUGGUGGAGUAGGACGCAACUGAAGGUCUCAUAGUGACUGCGGAUGCCACAGACACUUGACGAGGAGUGUGGAAAUGAAUCAGACUGGAGGCAUCUUGUGGCUUUUGGCUGGUGGGCAACAUGGUGUGUGUGGGGGCAAACAGACGUUCCCAUAAUCCUCAGAAUCAACAGCCACUACUCUGUCCUGUUUGGUUCCCGUUGGUGCACAGAGGUACAACAUCUAAAAACAGAGCCAUUACAGAUCUGUGUCGGAUCUGAGUAUUGUCCUCGGUCAUUGAUGAUCCCUGCUCUUAUGAUGAAUUAAUUACUGAAUUUGCCCCCACUACGAGACGUGUGCAGUUUGGAUUUAGUCUCCCGGCCCACACACCAGAAAGAUGUUUUCAACAGUCCUCAGGUUUUGGUAUUGCUAUUUUAGCCUGUUUUAACCUUUUUAAAUUAUAGAAAUUGCAUGUUUGAACAAUAUUUUUUUUCAUGCUGUAUCAUAUAUGAUCAAG
Oncorhynchus mykiss (rainbow trout) is the source of this 815-nucleotide non-coding RNA. The record is from RefSeq and is a predicted model, not a curated record. Lineage: Eukaryota; Metazoa; Chordata; Actinopteri; Salmoniformes; Salmonidae.